Molecule: ribosomal RNA, 900 nt
Filed under: Cellulosimicrobium sp.
Lineage: Bacteria; Bacillati; Actinomycetota; Actinomycetes; Micrococcales; Promicromonosporaceae
Description: bacterial SSU rRNA
Rfam family: Bacterial small subunit ribosomal RNA
Source: RNAcentral
UUGCUGGGUGGAUUAGUGGCGAACGGGUGAGUAACACGUGAGUAACCUGCCCUUGACUUCGGGAUAACUCCGGGAAACCGGGGCUAAUACCGGAUAUGAGCCGCCUUCGCAUGGGGGUGGUUGGAAAGUUUUUCGGUCAGGGAUGGGCUCGCGGCCUAUCAGCUUGUUGGUGGGGUGAUGGCCUACCAAGGCGACGACGGGUAGCCGGCCUGAGAGGGCGACCGGCCACACUGGGACUGAGACACGGCCCAGACUCCUACGGGAGGCAGCAGUGGGGAAUAUUGCACAAUGGGCGAAAGCCUGAUGCAGCGACGCCGCGUGAGGGAUGAAGGCCUUCGGGUUGUAAACCUCUUUCAGCAGGGAAGAAGCGCAAGUGACGGUACCUGCAGAAGAAGCGCCGGCUAACUACGUGCCAGCAGCCGCGGUAAUACGUAGGGCGCAAGCGUUGUCCGGAAUUAUUGGGCGUAAAGAGCUCGUAGGCGGUUUGUCGCGUCUGGUGUGAAAACUCGAGGCUCAACCUCGAGCUUGCAUCGGGUACGGGCAGACUAGAGUGCGGUAGGGGAGACUGGAAUUCCUGGUGUAGCGGUGGAAUGCGCAGAUAUCAGGAGGAACACCGAUGGCGAAGGCAGGUCUCUGGGCCGCAACUGACGCUGAGGAGCGAAAGCAUGGGGAGCGAACAGGAUUAGAUACCCUGGUAGUCCAUGCCGUAAACGUUGGGCACUAGGUGUGGGGCUCAUUCCACGAGUUCCGUGCCGCAGCAAACGCAUUAAGUGCCCCGCCUGGGGGAGUACGGCCGCAAGGCUAAAACUCAAAGGAAUUGACGGGGGCCCGCACAAGCGGCGGAGCAUGCGGAUUAAUUCGAUGCAACGCGAAGAACCUUACCAAGGCUUGACAUGCACG